Molecule: ribosomal RNA, 363 nt
Filed under: uncultured eukaryote
Lineage: Eukaryota
Description: partial 18S ribosomal RNA
Rfam family: Eukaryotic small subunit ribosomal RNA
Source: RNAcentral
CAAUAGCGUAUACUAAUGUUGUUGCAGUUAAAAAGCUCGUAGUUGAACUUCUGGUAGGAGUGUCCCGGCCUUUUUGUUUUUACAAAUUGUAUGCUGUGUGACAUCUCUGGCCAUCCUUCUUCUUUGUUUAAAGAAGAUCUUUCACUGUAAAAAAAUUAGGGUGUUCAAAGCAAAAGUUUCUUUGGAAUAUAUUAGUAUGGGAUGAUAAGAUAGGCUCUAGAUGCUACUUUGUUGGUUUGCACAUUUAGAGAAUGAUUAACAGGGACAGUUGGGGGUAUUCGUAUUUACAUGUCAGAGGUGAAAUUCUUGGAUUUUGGAAAGACGAACUACUGCGAAAGCAUUUACCAAGGAUGUUUUCAUUAA